This 183-nucleotide small RNA is filed under the name Arthrobacter agilis. RNAcentral's name for it is "c-di-AMP sequence". It matches the Rfam family "c-di-AMP riboswitch aptamer (ydaO/yuaA leader)". From Rfam's summary of the family: This family represents a conserved RNA structure found upstream of the ydaO and yuaA genes in Bacillus subtilis and related genes in other bacteria. The ydaO/yuaA element is thought to act as a genetic "off" switch for the ydaO and yuaA genes in its native state. Lineage: Bacteria; Bacillati; Actinomycetota; Actinomycetes; Micrococcales; Micrococcaceae. The record is from RNAcentral.
GCCGGGAUACGUCCGCACCUUCGAAGGCAGGGACGGGGGAACCAUCAGUUCCACCGGGCGCGCAGGAUCACCUGCACGCGUCCUCGGGGUUAAGUCGCACCGCAUCGCCCACCGGCGCUGCCCGCGGCCGGGUGACUCCCAUCCGAACCCGACAGCUCACCCCGCAGGCAUGGGAGAGGUACA